RNAcentral lists this small nuclear RNA (103 nucleotides) under Aotus nancymaae (Ma's night monkey). Lineage: Eukaryota; Metazoa; Chordata; Mammalia; Primates; Aotidae. The record is from RNAcentral.
UCGCUUCAGCAGCUCAUCUACUAAAACUGGAAUGAUACAGAGAAGACCAGCAUGGCCCCUGCACAAGGAUGACACGAAAACCUGUAAAGUGUUCCAUUAAAAA